AGACAGAGGGGGCAAGCGUUGCUCGGAAUUACUGGGCGUAAAGGGCUCGUAGGCGGCCAACUAAGUCAGACGUGAAAUCCCUCAGCUUAACUGGGGAACUGCGUCUGAUACUGGAUGGCUUGGAUUCGGGAGAGGGAUGCGGAAUUCCAGGUGUAGCGGUGAAAUGCGUAGAUAUCUGGAGGAACACCGGUGGCGAAGGCGGCAUCCUGGACCGAUAUUGACGCUGAGGAGCGAAAGCCAGGGGAGCAAACG
This 252-nucleotide ribosomal RNA is filed under the name uncultured prokaryote. RNAcentral describes it as "partial 16S ribosomal RNA". It matches the Rfam family "Bacterial small subunit ribosomal RNA", at positions 523 to 774 of the family's 1533-position model. The record is from RNAcentral.